GAUGAACGCUGGCGGCGUGCCUAAUACAUGCAAGUAGAACGCUGAAGGAGGAGCUUGCUCUUCUGGAUGAGUUGCGAACGGGUGAGUAACGCGUAGGUAACCUGCCUGGUAGCGGGGGAUAACUAUUGGAAACGAUAGCUAAUACCGCAUGACAACAGUUAUUGCAUGAUAACUGUUUAAAAGGGGCAACUGCUCCACUACCAGAUGGACCUGCGUUGUAUUAGCUAGUUGGUGAGGUAACGGCUCACCAAGGCGACGAUACAUAGCCGACCUGAGAGGGUGAUCGGCCACACUGGGACUGAGACACGGCCCAGACUCCUACGGGAGGCAGCAGUAGGGAAUCUUCGGCAAUGGACGGAAGUCUGACCGAGCAACGCCGCGUGAGUGAAGAAGGUUUUCGGAUCGUAAAGCUCCGUUGUAAGAGAAGAACGAGUGUGAGAGUGGAAAGUUCACACUGUGACGGUAUCUUACCAGAAAGGGAUGGCUAACUACGUG
RNAcentral lists this ribosomal RNA (495 nucleotides) under uncultured bacterium. RNAcentral's name for it is "partial 16S ribosomal RNA". It matches the Rfam family "Bacterial small subunit ribosomal RNA", at positions 28 to 507 of the family's 1533-position model. The record is from RNAcentral.